GACGAACGCUGGCGGCGUGCCUAAUACAUGCAAGUCGAGCGGGCCUCCGGAGGUGCUUGCACCUCCGGAAGGCCAGCGGCGGACGGGUGAGUAACACGUGGGCAACCUGCCUUUGAGGCCGGGAUAACACCGGGAAACCGGUGCUAAUACCGGAUGCGUCCCCUUCCGCGCCUGCGAGAGGGGAGAAAGACGGUCUUUAAGGCCGUCGCUCAAAGAGGGGCCCGCGGCGCAGUAGCUGGUUGGUGGGGUAAGGGCCUACCAAGGCGACGAUGCGUUGCCGGCCUGAGGGGGUGAUCGGCCACACUGGGACUGAGACACGGCCCAGACUCCUGCGGGAGGCAGCAGUAGGGAAUCAUCCGCAAUGGGCGAAAGCCUGACGGUGCAACGCCGCGUGAGUGAGGAAGGUUUUCGGAUCGUAAAGCUCUGUUGUGAGGGAAGAACAGCUUCCGGAGGAAAUGCCGGGGGUUUGCCGGUACCUCACCAGAAAGCCCCGGCUAACUACGUGCCAGCCGCCGCGGUAA
RNAcentral lists this ribosomal RNA (521 nucleotides) under uncultured bacterium. RNAcentral describes it as "partial 16S ribosomal RNA". It matches the Rfam family "Bacterial small subunit ribosomal RNA", at positions 28 to 523 of the family's 1533-position model. The record is from RNAcentral.